This 516-nucleotide ribosomal RNA is filed under the name Pseudococcus viburni (obscure mealybug). Its description in RNAcentral is "eukaryotic LSU rRNA". It matches the Rfam family "Eukaryotic large subunit ribosomal RNA", at positions 479 to 840 of the family's 3401-position model. The record is from RNAcentral. Lineage: Eukaryota; Metazoa; Arthropoda; Insecta; Hemiptera; Pseudococcidae.
UGCGAAAGUUCGUGUGCGUUCGCCGGGGUUUCGGCUUCGGCGGGCGUUUCGCGAGUGCGCGUUCUUUUCUGGCCGACUCGCCGGACGGUAUGCGAAGCGGUGAUCGCGGCGGCCUCUCGUCAGCGCCGUCGCGUUACCGGUCUGCGACGAAUCUUCGGGCCUCUUUCCGACCCGUCUUGAAACACGGACCAAGGAGUCUAACGUGCGCGCGAGUCGCGGGGUGUCGAGCGGCUGGCGGCGUUCGCUUGCGGGCGUCGUCGGCCGUUCGUUACAAUACGAAACCCGUCUCGUUUUACGAAAGGCGCAAUGAAAGUGAAUUUACGGGGAAGAUGACGUUACCGAGUUCACGUUCCGCGCUCUCGAAGCGCGGCCGGUCGUCCGCAUUCCCAGGGCGUCCCAAUGGCCCGGCGGCGUUGCGGACUGUCGUUCCUUCGGGGGCGGCGGUCGGGCGUCGUCGAACCGGGGCGCACCUAUAGCGUGCACGUUGGUACCCGAAAGAUGGUGAACUAUGCCCGG